UAAUUACGCAAAUAUAUCGAAGGCUGGUCAGAAAAUAAAAGGUCGGUUUGCUAGAGAAGGUGAAGAACGCAAGGAGCGGUUACCAGUCUCCAUUGAUUCUUACAGAGAAGAAAGAAGAGAGAGAGAGAGAGAGAGAUCUAGAGAGAGAAGGAAACCUAAUUGCGCCUCUACUCUCUGUGUAGAAGGUUCGCCUCUCUUACAUCGUCUUCGAUCACCGCCUCAUCAACUCGCUCUCGUUGGAUACCUGGUUGUACCGCAGAAGAAAACAAGAUGCUUCUACUCUCGUUACUCAAGCCUGCGCAAGGUCACCCUAGGGUGAUUGACAAAGUUCAAGAGGAUACAAAAAGCCGUUCAGCUUCCACUUUUGUUACUCGAGACUGUGCAAGGUCACCCUAUGUUGGUGGAACUGAAAAAUAGAGAGACGUACAAUGGUCAUUUGGUAAACUGCGACACUUUGAUGAACAUCCAUCUUCGUGAAGUUAUAUGUACCUCGAAGGAUGGGGACAGGUUUUGGCGAAAUCCUGAGUGCUACAUUAGGGGAAAUACAAUCAAGUAUCUUACAGUUCCAGAUGAGAUAGAAAGCCUCCUGGUGUGGGGCACGGGAUACCUCCUCCAAAGCUAAACGCAUAGGCCGCGGUAUGGAGGUCGAGGUGAAGGUCGGCUUGUGUAAAAGCUCGAGAGACCAGAUGAGCUCAAGUCCCCAGUGAAGCGGUCCUGUCAUUUAAAAAAGGUAUGAUAUAUAAGGAAUUAAGUUGUAAUAAAUUAUAAAUAAGGGAUUAACAAAAUAAAUAAGAAAUGAUUGGGCUGGGCGUUAUUUUCUUUUAAUGGGCCUUAAUUUAAUUCGUGGACCGGGACACUGUUUUUGUUAAUACGUGUAAACUGGAACAGGUUGUUUAUAUGGGUUGGUCUCAGUUUUUGUUGGUGAUGUGGCCCUAAUAUGUAUAAUUCGCGGACUGGGCCACUUUUUCUGUUCGUGGGCCGCAUUAUUUAAUAGGGCUGGGCAUUAUUUUUUCCUCUAAUGUGCUGGGCCCCAAAAUUUUAUCGUUAUCUGGGCCAAAUUUUGCUUUCAUGUUGAGCCUCAUUUUUUUUAGACUGGGUUGGGUCUCAGCAGUUUUAAUGGGCCACUUUUUUUUUGGACCUCCGUUUGUUUGUAAAGUGGGACCCAUUGAUAAAUUGGACUGGGGAUUUUUUUUUCUC
Non-coding RNA from Erythranthe guttata (spotted monkey flower), 1197 nucleotides. Lineage: Eukaryota; Viridiplantae; Streptophyta; Magnoliopsida; Lamiales; Phrymaceae. The record is from RefSeq and is a predicted model, not a curated record.